RNAcentral lists this ribosomal RNA (428 nucleotides) under uncultured Thermogutta sp. RNAcentral's name for it is "bacterial SSU rRNA". It matches the Rfam family "Bacterial small subunit ribosomal RNA", at positions 355 to 778 of the family's 1533-position model. The record is from RNAcentral. Lineage: Bacteria; Pseudomonadati; Planctomycetota; Planctomycetia; Pirellulales; Thermoguttaceae.
UCGAGAAUCUUCGGCAAUGGGGGCAACCCUGACCGAGCGACGCCGCGUGCGGGAUGAAGGCCUUCGGGUUGUAAACCGCUGUCGUAGAGGAGGAAAUGCAGGUGGGUUCUCCCACCUGUUUGACCUAUUCUAGGAGGAAGUACGGGCUAAGUUCGUGCCAGCAGCCGCGGUAAGACGAACCGUACAAACGUUACUCGGAAUUACUGGGCUUAAAGGGUGCGUAGGCUGCGCGGAAAGUUGGGUGUGAAAGCCCUCGGCUCAACCGGGGAAUUGCAUUCAACACUACCGUGCUCGAGGGAGACAGAGGUAAGCGGAACUCAAGGUGGAGCGGUGAAAUGCGUUGAUAUCUUGAGGAACACCGGUGGCGAAGGCGGCUUACUGGGUCUCUUCUGACGCUGAGGAACGAAAGCUAAGGUAGCAAACGGGAU